This 818-nucleotide long non-coding RNA is filed under the name Lepisosteus oculatus (spotted gar). RNAcentral's name for it is "lncRNA (ENSLOCG00000021063.1)". The record is from RNAcentral. Lineage: Eukaryota; Metazoa; Chordata; Actinopteri; Semionotiformes; Lepisosteidae.
GAACUGUUUUUCUAAAGUUUAGAAGUUCUUACAUGUAGUCGGGUAAAGUUUUUCUAGCAGUUCUGAAAUCAUCCACCUAGGACUAGCUAAUGCAUCAAGCCAAAAUCAGAUUUUGAUCUGAUUUUGCUUUAUUUGUAUUGUGUAUUUAGUGUAGUAUACGUUUCCAUGUAUUUGUGAAAAUUAAGUAAUUUGAUAUAAUGAGAUAUCACCAUGCUGGAUCAUAAUUGAGAGAAAAAAAGGAACAGGGAGGAGAGAGCAGAGUAAAUGGGAUUAGGAGAAGAGAGAGGGGGAAGGAAAAGGGAAAAGAAGUGACAGUGGUUGUGCAGAAUUCCAGGGAGGGAUGACAGCUUCAGGAGAAUUGGAAAAAAAGAAGACAGCAUGGCAGGAGCACAGCUGGAUGUUUUGCACAGAGAAUGUGUCUGAAGAUUUGAGGUGGGAAAGAGAUGGGACCAGGGUUUUGUUGCCUCGGUAUGCUCCGCAGAAUGAGGAAUACAUUGCAGACACAGCUGUGUCUCACAGCACAGAGACAUCUAAUGAUGCCCUGAAUGCUUGCCAUUUGCCAGCCGUGCCUGAUGGACCCAGGGAACACAUGGCUUUUACUAGGGAUAUUGGUCUUUUUUUCUCCCGGUUUCUCAUAGCUUUGGCUCACAAUAGUAACAUCAUUUCUGUCCUUUGUUCCUCAUAAAAACUACAAUGAUCAUGCAAUUAGUGCAGAAUAAAGAAAAAGGGAUCUAGGGAAGAAAAGAAUGAGCUUUCCUCUGGGUUUCAUUAACAGGAAAAAAAAAGCUGUGCGCUGUACCCUCUAUUGUAAUCUUUCU